This is a non-coding RNA of Salmo salar (Atlantic salmon), 54 nucleotides long. The record is from Rfam. NCBI's taxonomy places the organism in Eukaryota, Metazoa, Chordata, Actinopteri, Salmoniformes, Salmonidae.
UGCACUCACUAUUGUAAGUCGCUCUGGAUAAGAGCGUCUGCUAAAUGAAUAAAA